UACGUAGGGGGCAAGCGUUGUCCGGAUUUAUUGGGCGUAAAGAGCGUGUAGGCGGUUUGGUAGGUCCGCUGUGAAAACUCGGAGGCUCAACCUCGAGACGCCGGUGGAAACCAUCAGGCUAGAGUCCGGAAGAGGAGAGUGGAAUUCCUGGUGUAGCGGUGAAAUGCGCAGAUAUCAGGAAGAACACCCGUGGCUAAGGCGGCUCUCUAGUACGGUACUGACGCUGAGACGCGAAAGCGUGGGGAGCGAACAGG
RNAcentral lists this ribosomal RNA (254 nucleotides) under uncultured bacterium. Its description in RNAcentral is "partial 16S ribosomal RNA". It matches the Rfam family "Bacterial small subunit ribosomal RNA", at positions 524 to 776 of the family's 1533-position model. The record is from RNAcentral.